Molecule: ribosomal RNA, 449 nt
Filed under: uncultured bacterium
Lineage: Bacteria
Description: bacterial SSU rRNA
Rfam family: Bacterial small subunit ribosomal RNA
Source: RNAcentral
CAGGCCUAACACAUGCAAGUCGCACGAGAAAGGGGCUUCGGCCCUGAGUAAAGUGGCGCACGGGUGAGUAACACGUGACUUAUCUACCCUCGAGUGGGGAAUAACCUAGGGAAACCUGGGCUAAUACCGCAUAACACUUACGAGUCAAAGCAGCAAUGCGCUUGGGGAGGAGGUCGCGGCAGAUUAGCUAGUUGGUGGGGUAAAGGCCUACCAAGGCGAUGAUCUGUAUCCGGCCUGAGAGGGCGCACGGACACACUGGAACUGAAACACGGUCCAGACUCCUACGGGAGGCAGCAGUGGGGAAUUUUGCGCAAUGGGGGAAACCCUGACGCAGCAACGCCGCGUGGAGGAUGAAGUCUCUUGGGACGUAAACUCCUUUCGAUCGGGACGAUAAUGACGGUACCGAUAGAAGAAGCCCCGGCUAACUUCGUGCCAGCAGCCGCGGUAAU